CCCCCCCCCCCCCACUUCUACCUAAGACUGAGGAGGGAAUGUGGGCCAGAGCACACUGAGUAUGCACACACCAAAGAGUUCAGUUGAUUAGUUUUCCUACUUGGAUUUCUAGGUUUUGAAACCUGCACAUGAAUCAAAAAGUAAAAUUGUACAUGAAAGAUCAGAUCAAAAUUCAUUAUUGCUACUCCACCCAGAACAAUGCACUUGUGAUAAUUAGCAUGAAAAUGUUUCAAUAUUCUAUUAGAACUAGUAUAUAUAGAUAUAAAUUAUUUUUUUUUAGAGGGCACGUUAAUUAAGUGUCAAAAUUAAUCCAAGAAAAAUAAAGUUUCAGUGUCAAUGCAGUGUGUUUUUGCAUGUAACAUUGAGCUCAUUUAUUUGUUUGUAGGCAUAUUUUACUCAGGAUGUUUACUGUAUAAAGUCAUACUGACUAGACAUUUUGACAAUUACUUUAAAUCACUGAAUAACUCUGCAAACACAAUAUAUGUUUAUUACAAUUGAUAAAAAAAAACACCUAAAGAAUGACAUUCACAACUGGCAAUAUUGAUGAAAAGAGGAAAUAAACUAUUGUGACUGGUUCUAAAGUAAUUGAUAAGAAUUUCUUAGCAGUAAAAAUGAUCACAAGCAUACUACUUAAUUUUUUUGUAAACUUAAUUCUUUAGAUACUUUUGUUAACAGUUAUGUAAAUUGUUCUAUUUAAAGUAUGUUAUGAAAUUGUUUCUCUUUGUCAGAGUGAUAGUACUUUACAGUUUGUUUGACAUUCUUAGGAAAUUAACAGCAUUCUUUGUACAUAUGUUUGUGGUGUAUGUGUUUGAAUUUAUCUUACCUGCUGAUGACCAAAACUAUUGCCAUUCCAAUUGGACUUGAUCUUGUACCUAACAGUAAUUGGUCUUUAUCAUGAUCAAAGUAACAUUUCGAUAAUGGGCAAUAAACUCUUCAAUGGAAUAGCUC
Molecule: non-coding RNA, 948 nt
Organism: Biomphalaria pfeifferi
Lineage: Eukaryota; Metazoa; Mollusca; Gastropoda; Planorbidae
Source: the annotation of a GenBank genome assembly